CGUGUAGGCGGGCAGAUAAGUCAGACGUGAAAUUUUUCCGCUUAACGGAGAAACCGCGUUUGAAACUAUCUGUCUUGAGUACGGGAGAGGAAAGUGGAACUCCUGGUGUAGCGGUGAAAUGCGUAGAUAUCAGGAGGAACACCUGUGGCGAAGGCGGCUUUCUAGCCCGAUACUGACGCUGUGGCGCGAAGGCUAGGGGAGCAAACAGAAUUAGAUACUCUGGUAGUCCUAGCGGUAAACGUUGGGCACUAGGUGUUGGUUCCUUAAAGGAUCAGUGCCGAAGCUAACGCAUUAAGUGCCCCGCCUGGGGAGUACGGCCGCAAGGUUGAA
This 330-nucleotide ribosomal RNA is filed under the name uncultured bacterium. RNAcentral describes it as "bacterial SSU rRNA". It matches the Rfam family "Bacterial small subunit ribosomal RNA", at positions 568 to 898 of the family's 1533-position model. The record is from RNAcentral.